CCAGACUCCUACGGGAGGCAGCAGUGAGGAAUAUUGGUCAAUGGGCGGGAGCCUGAACCAGCCAAGUCGCGUGAGGGAAGACGGUCCUACGGAUUGUAAACCUCUUUUGCCGGGGAGCAACGGGGUCCUUGCGAGGGCCCGAUGAGAGUACCCGGAGAAAAAGCAUCGGCUAACUCCGUGCCAGCAGCCGCGGUAAUACGGAGGAUGCGAGCGUUAUCCGGAUUUAUUGGGUUUAAAGGGUGCGUAGGCGGGGGUGUAAGGCCAGCGUGAAAAUGCGGGGGCUAACCCCGGGCCUGCCGUUGAAACUGGCGUUCUUGAGUGGGCGAGAAGUAUGCGGAAUGCGUGGUGUAGCGGUGAAAUGCAUAGAUAUCACGCAGAACUCCGAUUGCGAAGGCAGCAUACCGGCGCCCAACUGACGCUGAAGCACGAAAGCGUGGGUAUCGAACAGGAUUAGAUACCCCUGUA
Molecule: ribosomal RNA, 465 nt
Filed under: uncultured bacterium
Lineage: Bacteria
Description: bacterial SSU rRNA
Rfam family: Bacterial small subunit ribosomal RNA
Source: RNAcentral